Molecule: non-coding RNA, 1322 nt
Organism: Aegilops tauschii subsp. strangulata
Lineage: Eukaryota; Viridiplantae; Streptophyta; Magnoliopsida; Poales; Poaceae
Source: RefSeq, a predicted model, not a curated record
UAUUUGCAGCCCCUCCAUCCAAAUCACACAAACGAAAAUCCAUUUUUCCCCACCCGGCCACCUCUCUCCCCCUGAUUCCUCUGUCUCUCUCGCACCACAGCGUUGUCGCCGCCAACUCCGAUCCCAGGAAGCUCCAGCGGACUCCAACCCACUGCUCACCGUUCUGCCCCACUCCAUCUAUGUUCUCCUCUGUUCCUUCGCCUGAGGCCACCGCGCCCCUGCACGCGUGGCACGCAACAACCCUAGCCGCCACGCGUCGCCGGCGUGGCUCCGGCAGCUCCGGUUUAUCGACCCACUACCCCUGCGGCCCUGCCUCACCUCACGCGCGGCAGCACGCUCGAGCUUGACGUUGGUAUUCCGCCUCUUCUACCUCAACUCCGGUGUUGACGUUUCUGGUUCUGGUGUUUACACGCUCGAGCUUGACGUUGAUCGAUGUACAACACUUAUGCAUUACAAUCAGGAGAAAUCCAUGCAGAAGAAGCCUGAAGAAUUAUUCAAGUUAUUUGUUUAUAGCAUGGUACUUCUGAAUUCCUGCAAUCUCUGUACUAGUUUUGUAUUUCGUGGGGAGCCACAGAUAUUUCCAAAUACUAGAAUGAUGCAUGAUUGGUCAGCACACAAACUCUUGGCCAGGUUCCUCUCACAUCUUAUCUUGUUUGUAAUAUAUUCUUCUUAAACUGUUAACACGAUGAGCAUGUACUUGUUUCAUCCAAGAACGUAAACAUGAAAAGUAUUCCUCUUGUGCACUCUCCUUCCCUGACAUACAGGGCACACUACGGUGGUUGGAUGAUACAACCAUAAACAGACAGCUAAGCGAUCAGAUGCGGCGACUGUGCGAGUGUGUCAGGACCUUCUCCUCUACCUACUCGGGCCAACAGUUUCAGCAUCCAGCAACCAUUGUGACAAAGAUGAACGUACUGGAACUGCUCUAAGUUUCAACAUUCUCGGUUACAGAGGCUCGAUUGUUCCAAGUCGAUGUUGUUGGCGCUAAAACAUAAAAGACUACUAGUGCCAAGCUGGAUUUACUAGGAGAUUGCAAUAUUCGAUGACGCAUGGCUCAGAUGUUGGUUGCAAGGUCAAGAAUAGGGGUGCUACUAGAUAGUUUCACAUUAUGCCUUAGAAUGCCAUUUCCAGUGCCAAUGUUUCAAUCAUUAUGUUUCGGAUAUUUUUGGUGUCAAUAUUUCGAUCAUUAUGUUUCAGAAUGGCUGACACGUUGGCUGCAAGGUCAAGAAUGAGAUUACUACUAGUUUCACAUCUUGUAAUUUUUGUAUGGUGUACUUUGUAAUGCAACCAAGUUGAUUUAAUAUAUGAGAAAUUUCUGUUUA